CAGUUAUCGUUUAUUUGAUAGUACCCUCUACUUGGAUACCUGUGGCAAUUCUAGAGCUAAUACAUGCUAAAAACCUCGACUUCGGAAGGGGUGUAUUUAUUAGAUAAAAAACCAAUGCCCUUCGGGGCUCCUUGGCGAAUCAUAAUAACUUAACGAAUCGCAUGGCCUUGCGCCGGCGAUGGUUCAUUCAAAUUUCUGCCCUAUCAACUUUCGAUGGUACGGUAGUGGCCUACCAUGGUUUCUACGGGUAACGGGGAAUUGUAAGUCGUUCUCUUUUCGACCACCUGAAUCUAUGCUAAUUGUGUUUUGCAGAGGGUUCGAUUCCGGAGAGGGAGCCUGAGAAACGGCUACCACAUCCAAGGAAGGCAGCAGGCGCGCAAAUUACCCAAUCCCGACACGGGGAGGUAGUGACAAUAAAUACUGAUGUGGAGCUCUUUUGGGUUUCGCAAUUGGAAUGAGUACAAUUUAAAUCCCUUAACGAGGAACAAUUGGAGGGCAAGUCUGGUGGACACCUAGUGGGGAGAUGCUGGCACCAGAUAGUGGGGGCGCGGCGCUCGCCGCACCCCCGAGUCGCUCCGGCGGCAAGGCUCUUGGUUCGGGGAACGCUGCCGGGGACGCCGCUCAGGCGGUCCGGGUGGUCAUCCCGCAGCGAGGGGGGUACGCCUCCCCGUUGUAACGCGCGCAAAAGUGCCGGCCACCAUCCGUGGUUCGAGGGACGUGCUGUUCCGGUUCUUGACGAACCCCUCUGCCCGAGCCCUCCGGGUGACGGUGCGAGGAGGGAUCCCUUAUGGGGAUCGCCUGGAAUCCGACACGAUGUCGGUGAUGAAAAUAAGAGGCCAGCAGCCGCGGUAAUUCCAGCUCCAAUAGCGUAUAUUAAAGUUGUUGCAGUUAAAAAGCUCGUAGUUGAAACUUGGGUUUGGUUGAUCGGUCCGCCUCACCGCGUGCACUGGUUCGACCGAACCUUUCCUUGUGGGGAGUCGCAUGCCCUUCAUUGGGUGUGUCGAGGAACCACGACUUUUACUUUGAAAAAAUUAGAGUGUUCAAAGCAGGCUUAAGCUCGGAUACAUUAGCAUGGAAUAAUAGAAUAGGACGUUGGUUCUAUUUUGUUGGUUUCUA
This 1116-nucleotide ribosomal RNA is filed under the name Fuscopannaria leucosticta. Its description in RNAcentral is "partial 18S ribosomal RNA". It matches the Rfam family "Eukaryotic small subunit ribosomal RNA", at positions 107 to 853 of the family's 1831-position model. Lineage: Eukaryota; Fungi; Ascomycota; Lecanoromycetes; Peltigerales; Pannariaceae. The record is from RNAcentral.